This 757-nucleotide unclassified non-coding RNA is filed under the name Campylobacter lari. Its description in RNAcentral is "partial miscellaneous RNA". The stretch from base 202 to 275 matches the Rfam family "tRNA". The record is from RNAcentral. Lineage: Bacteria; Pseudomonadati; Campylobacterota; Epsilonproteobacteria; Campylobacterales; Campylobacteraceae.
CUGCGGUUGGAUCACCUCCUUUCUAGAGUACAAACUGAUAAGUCUCACAACUAUCAGUUCAUAUAUAGACUCAAUCAUCCUUGUUUAGAUUUCAAAGAUUGAUGAAAAGCUAAUUUUGGGGAAUUAGCUCAGCUGGGAGAGCGCCUGCUUUGCACGCAGGAGGUCAGCGGUUCGAUCCCGCUAUUCUCCACCAUUUAUUAAGGGCCUAUAGCUCAGCUGGUUAGAGUGCACCCCUGAUAAGGGUGAGGUCACAAGUUCAAGUCUUGUUAGGCCCACCAUAAAAAAGAUUUGUUUAUCAAUCAUAUAAUAAAGUUUUAAAACUUAAAGCAAGUAUAUAACUAACAAUAAAGUAAUAAAUAAAGUAAAAUAAUUUAUUACUUAUGUUUUUAAAUUAUUUAAACUCUUUAUAUAUACUUCCUUUAGGUUUUAAGACCUAAGCUAAAUAAAUAAUAGAAUAUUUUAUAUAUUAGAUUAGUUAUUUAAUGUUAUUUGAAUUAUCAUUGUUAAGAGUCACAAGCAAGUUUUAAUAAAAACAAUUUUACAGGACUUGUUAAAGGAUAAAACCUAACUAUCUUUUCUUUAGCUUUUAGUUAAAGACAAGUUUUAAACUCACAGCUUAGUGAGACUAAAUUUAUUUAGUUUUAUUAAGUGUUUAAAUGCUUUCCGUCUUAAGAUAGUAAAGUCUUAUCAUAAAAAACUUUAACAAGGAAGUGAUGCGUUUUAGAUGAAUUUAAAAGUAAGCUAUAAGAGCGAAUGG